GACGAACGCUGGCGGCGUGCCUAAUACAUGCAAGUUGAGCGAUGAAGAUUGGUGCUUGCACCAAUUUGAAGAGCAGCGAACGGGUGAGUAACGCGUGGGGAAUCUGGCUUUGAGCGGGGGACAACAUUUGGAAACGAAUGCUAAUACCGCAUAACAACUUUAAACAUAAGUUUUAAGUUUGAAAGAUGCAAUUGCAUCACUCAAAGAUGAUCCCGCGUUGUAUUAGCUAGUUGGUGAGGUAAAGGCUCACCAAGGCGAUGAUACAUAGCCGACCUGAGAGGGUGAUCGGCCACAUUGGGACUGAGACACGGCCCAAACUCCUACGGGAGGCAGCAGUAGGGAAUCUUCGGCAAUGGACGAAAGUCUGACCGAGCAACGCCGCGUGAGUGAAGAAGGUUUUCGGAUCGUAAAACUCUGUUGGUAGAGAAGAACGUUGGUGAGAGUGGAAAGCUCAUCAAGUGACGGUAACUACCCAGAAAGGGACGGCUAACUACGU
This 496-nucleotide ribosomal RNA is filed under the name uncultured bacterium. RNAcentral describes it as "partial 16S ribosomal RNA". It matches the Rfam family "Bacterial small subunit ribosomal RNA", at positions 28 to 506 of the family's 1533-position model. The record is from RNAcentral.